This 433-nucleotide ribosomal RNA is filed under the name uncultured bacterium. RNAcentral describes it as "partial 16S ribosomal RNA". It matches the Rfam family "Bacterial small subunit ribosomal RNA", at positions 29 to 507 of the family's 1533-position model. The record is from RNAcentral.
AACGAACGCUGGCGGCAUGCCUAACACAUGCAAGUCGAACGAGACCUUCAGGUCUAGUGGCGCAUGGGUGCGGAACGCGUGGGGAGCUGCACUUGGGUUCGGAAUAACUCCCCGAAAGGGGUGCUAAUACCGGAUAGUGUCUUAGGACCGAAGAUUUAUCGAAUUGGAAGGGGCCCGAGUUGGAUUCGCUAGUGGGUAGGGUAAAAGCCGACCAAGGCGACGAUCACUAGCUGGGCUGGGAGGCUGAUCAGCCACUCUUGGACUGAGACACGGCCCAGACUCUUACGGGAGGCAGCAGUGGCUAAUAUUGCACAAUGGGCUAAAUCCUGAUCCACCUCUGCCGCUUGAGUGAUGUAGGCCUUAGGGUUGUAAAGCUCUUUUACCCGGGAUGAUAAUGACAGUACCGGGAGAAUAAGCUCCGGCUAACUCCGUG